This 492-nucleotide ribosomal RNA is filed under the name uncultured bacterium. RNAcentral's name for it is "partial 16S ribosomal RNA". It matches the Rfam family "Bacterial small subunit ribosomal RNA", at positions 29 to 507 of the family's 1533-position model. The record is from RNAcentral.
AGUGAACGCUGGCGGUAGGCCUAACACAUGCAAGUCGAACGGCAGCACAGUAAGAGCUUGCUCUUACGGGUGGCGAGUGGCGGACGGGUGAGGAAUACAUCGGAAUCUACUUUUUCGUGGGGGAUAACGUAGGGAAACUUACGCUAAUACCGCAUACGACCUACGUGUGAAAGCAGGGGAUCUUCGGACCUUGCGCGAUUGAAUGAGCCGAUGUCGGAUUAGCUAGUUGGCUGGGUAAAGGCCCACCAAGGCGACGAUCCGUAGCUGGUCUGAGAGGAUGAUCAGCCACACUGGAACUGAGACACGGUCCAGACUCCUACGGGAGGCAGCAGUGGGGAAUAUUGGACAAUGGGCGCAAGCCUGAUCCAGCCAUACCGCGUGGGUGAAGAAGGCCUUCGGGUUGUAAAGCCCUUUUGUUGGGAAAGAAAAGCAGCAGGUUAAUACCCCGCUGUUCUGACGGUACCCAAAGAAUAAGCACCGGCUAACUUCGUG